RNAcentral lists this ribosomal RNA (430 nucleotides) under uncultured bacterium. RNAcentral's name for it is "bacterial SSU rRNA". It matches the Rfam family "Bacterial small subunit ribosomal RNA", at positions 354 to 776 of the family's 1533-position model. The record is from RNAcentral.
GUGGGGAAUAUUGGACAAUGGGGGCAACCCUGAUCCAGCCAUGCCGCGUGUGUGAAGAAGGCUUUCGGGUUGUAAAGCACUUUCAGUGAGGAGGAAAACCUUAUGGUUAAUAGCCAUGAGGCUUGACGUUACUCACAGAAGAAGCACCGGCUAACUCCGUGCCAGCAGCCGCGGUAAUACGGAGGGUGCAAGCGUUAAUCGGAAUUACUGGGCGUAAAGCGCGCGUAGGUGGUUUGAUAAGCGAGAUGUGAAAGCCCCGGGCUUAACCUGGGAACGGCAUUUCGAACUGUCAGGCUAGAGUGUGGUAGAGGGUAGUGGAAUUUCCUGUGUAGCGGUGAAAUGCGUAGAUAUAGGAAGGAACACCAGUGGCGAAGGCGGCUACCUGGACCAACACUGACACUGAGGUGCGAAAGCGUGGGGAGCAAACAGG